AAAUUGAAGAGUUUGAUCAUGGCUCAGAUUGAACGCUGGCGGCAGGCCUAACACAUGCAAGUCGAACGGUAACAGAAAGCAGCUUGCUGCUUUGCUGACGAGUGGCGGACGGGUGAGUAAUGUCUGGGAAACUGCCUGAUGGAGGGGGAUAACUACUGGAAACGGUAGCUAAUACC
Molecule: ribosomal RNA, 176 nt
Filed under: Escherichia coli
Lineage: Bacteria; Pseudomonadati; Pseudomonadota; Gammaproteobacteria; Enterobacterales; Enterobacteriaceae
Description: partial 16S ribosomal RNA
Rfam family: Bacterial small subunit ribosomal RNA
Source: RNAcentral